Molecule: ribosomal RNA, 405 nt
Filed under: uncultured microorganism
Description: bacterial SSU rRNA
Rfam family: Bacterial small subunit ribosomal RNA
Source: RNAcentral
GAGUUUGAUCAUGGCUCAGAUUGAACGCUGGCGGCAUGCCUUACACAUGCAAGUCGAACGGCAGCAUGAUCUAGCUUGCUAGAUUGAUGGCGAGUGGCGAACGGGUGAGUAAUACAUCGGAACGUGCCCUGUAGUGGGGGAUAACUAGUCGAAAGAUUAGCUAAUACCGCAUACGACCUGAGGGUGAAAGUGGGGGACCGCAAGGCCUCAUGCUAUAGGAGCGGCCGAUGUCUGAUUAGCUAGUUGGUGGGGUAAAGGCCCACCAAGGCGACGAUCAGUAGCUGGUCUGAGAGGACGAUCAGCCACACUGGGACUGAGACACGGCCCAGACUCCUACGGGAGGCAGCAGUGGGGAAUUUUGGACAAUGGGCGAAAGCCUGAUCCAGCAAUGCCGCGUGUGUGAAG